GGGUGCCAGCCACGGAGGAGGUCUGUCCCCUGCUCCCGGGCCAGACCACAGGCAGCCAGGCUGGGCUGCAGCCAGGCUGUGGGGGGAGGUGUUCUCAGCCCCUAAGCUCCUCUCCGUCUGGCCCUGGGGACCCCUCCCCGACCCCAGAUCCCAGCAACCACCCAGGGUUCUUUCAAGCAGGUUUUCCCAGUGGUACUGUUCUCAAGAACUCGGAAUGGUUUUGCCAGAAGUGUAGGGAGAUCUGUGGGUCUCUGGAGGGUUUGUGCCAAUCCAGAAUCUAUGCUCAGGUCAGCACACUGGCCCAACAGCCUAGGGUGGAGACAAAAUGCAGGACACUGAAAUUCUAUUUUGAUUUGCUAAGUCUGGCCCCCUGCCUGCUUUUGUAAAUAAAGCUUUAUUGAAACACAGCUACACGCAUUCAUUUACAUAUUAUCUCUGGCUGCUUUUCAUGCUACAGUAUUGUCCAGCAUCUGCAACAGAGACCUUAUGACCUGCAA
This 497-nucleotide long non-coding RNA is filed under the name Mustela putorius furo (domestic ferret). RNAcentral's name for it is "lncRNA (ENSMPUG00000024308.1)". Lineage: Eukaryota; Metazoa; Chordata; Mammalia; Carnivora; Mustelidae. The record is from RNAcentral.